GGGCGAUUAGCUCAGUUGGGAGAGCGCAGCGUUCGCAACGCUGAGGUCGUGGGUUCGAAUCCCAUAUCGUCCACCA
This 76-nucleotide transfer RNA is filed under the name Acutalibacter muris. RNAcentral's name for it is "tRNA-Ala". It matches the Rfam family "tRNA". From Rfam's summary of the family: Transfer RNA (tRNA) molecules are approximately 80 nucleotides in length. Their secondary structure includes four short double-helical elements and three loops (D, anti-codon, and T loops). Lineage: Bacteria; Bacillati; Bacillota; Clostridia; Eubacteriales; Acutalibacteraceae. The record is from RNAcentral. RNAcentral also lists the same sequence under 6 other names.